This 1059-nucleotide long non-coding RNA is filed under the name Gossypium barbadense (sea-island cotton). RNAcentral describes it as "long non-coding RNA (GBAR_LNC017059)". Lineage: Eukaryota; Viridiplantae; Streptophyta; Magnoliopsida; Malvales; Malvaceae. The record is from RNAcentral.
UUUAACGACGUCGUUCCCGUUCUAUAUAUAUUUGUUAUAAAAUAAUUUUAAAGGAAAACAAAGAAAGAACCUUAAGCCCCCAUAUCCCAUUUUCGGUUCUUUGGAAUCGACUGAAGACCAGGCCACCUCCCACCGUUCUCAGCCGAACAGCAGCCCCUUUCAACUACGAUUUUGACAGAACAGGUGGGGGCGACGGCGGACGCGAGAUGCAGGUAAGGUUUCCCUCGCCUUUUCCUUUUUUUAUUUUUUAUAUAUAGUCUUAUAUAUAUAUAUACAUGAUUAAAUAAAAAGGAAAUAGAUAGAAACAAAUCAAAGAAACAGAAUGAAAAAGAGAAAAGAAGAAAACACCUUAUCUUCAAAUUUUUUAUUGAUUCUUCCAAAUUUUUUUCAAUCGUUUUUUUCUCCCCCCUUUUACAGUAUAUUCGGCUUUAGCCGAAAGAAAAGAAGAAAAAACAUAAAAGAAAAUCCCCUCCCUUUUACAAUUCUUGGCUUCUGGCUUAUAUAGCCAAAUACCUCUUGGAUACUAUUUUUUUUGUUACGUUAUUGCUGUUGCGUUUUUUCUCUCUUUUCUUGCAGGCAUCGACCGAGUUUGCAGUUUUUUGCCGUUUUGGUGCAAGACUGUCGGGCUUUGGGCGGUGUGCACGCUGAGGGCGUACAUGGGGCAGGCUGGAGAAGGCGUACGGCCGCUAGGGGUUGGAUGCGGCGCGAGGAAAGGAGGGAACCCUAGGGUUUUCUAAUGCUGCUUAAUCUUUUGAGGCCUAUUGGGCCGUUUAGAGUUUUGGGCUGGUGAUUGUUAUUGGGCCUAGGGUUAUUGGGCUAGGAUUUGGGUAGGUUUUGUUUAAUUUUGUAAUGGGCCCGGGUGAAAUUGGGCUUCUACAACAUAUAUAAUAAAUAUAAUUACAUGUUAUUAUUUAUUACUAUAGAAUAUUAAUUCAAAUUAAAAGUGAUAUAAUUUAAUUAAAGUUUUUUGAGCUUAGUUAUUAAAUAAAGUAUGAGUCAAAUAUGUGUAGAUACUCUAGUAACUAAUUUUUAAUGGAUGAUGGGCUGGUUAGAAAUUCG